Molecule: ribosomal RNA, 1447 nt
Filed under: uncultured Bacteroidales bacterium
Lineage: Bacteria; Pseudomonadati; Bacteroidota; Bacteroidia; Bacteroidales
Description: 16S ribosomal RNA
Rfam family: Bacterial small subunit ribosomal RNA
Source: RNAcentral
GAUGAACGCUAGCGGCAGGCUUAACACAUGCAAGUCGAGGGGCAGCGGGAGUAGCAAUACUUGCCGGCGACCGGCGCAAGGGUGCGUAACGCGUGAGUAACAUACCUAUAACAGGGGGAUAAUCCGGAGAAAUUCGGCCUAAUACCCCGUAGUGACAUUAGGGAGCAUUUUUUAGUGUUAAAAGUUUAGGCGGUUAUAGAUUGGCUCGCGUAACAUUAGUUAGUUGGUGUGGUAACGGCAUACCAAGGCGACGAUGUUUAGGGGUUCUGAGAGGAAGGUCCCCCACACUGGAACUGAGACACGGUCCAGACUCCUACGGGAGGCAGCAGUGAGGAAUAUUGGACAAUGGGCGGGAGCCUGAUCCAGCCAUGCCGCGUGCAGGAAGAAGGUUCUAUGGACUGUAAACUGCUUUUAUCAGGGAGCAAUAAGGACUACGCGUAGUUUGAUGAGAGUACCUGAUGAAUAAGCAUCGGCUAACUCCGUGCCAGCAGCCGCGGUAAUACGGAGGAUGCGAGCGUUAUCCGGAUUUAUUGGGUUUAAAGGGUGCGUAGGCUGCUUUAUAAGUCAGUGGUGAAAUGCUAUGGCUUAACUGUAGAAUUGCCAUUGAUACUGUAUAGCUAGGAAUUAGUUGAAGUAGGCGGAAUGUGUGGUGUAGCGGUGAAAUGCAUAGAUAUCACACAGAACACCGAUAGCGAAGGCAGCUUACUAAGCUAUAUUUGACGCUGAGGCACGAAAGUGUGGGGAUCGAACAGGAUUAGAUACCCUGGUAGUCCACACAGUAAACGAUGAUAACUAGUUGUAGGUAGGCAUAUCUAUCUGUGAUCAAGCGAAAGCGAUAAGUUAUCCACCUGGGGAGUACGGCCGCAAGGCUGAAACUCAAAGGAAUUGACGGGGGCCCGCACAAGCGGAGGAACAUGUGGUUUAAUUCGAUGAUACGCGAGGAACCUUACCCGGGCUCGAACGGCUAUAGGAUAAUAUAGAGAUAUAUUAGCCAGCAAUGGUUAUAGUCGAGGUGCUGCAUGGUUGUCGUCAGCUCGUGCCGUGAGGUGUCGGCUUAAGUGCCAUAACGAGCGCAACCCUUGUUGUUAGUUGCCAACGGAUAAAGCCGGGGACUCUAGCAAGACUGCCAGCGUAAGCUGCGAGGAAGGGGGGGAUGACGUCAAAUCAGCACGGCCCUUAUGUCCGGGGCGACACACGUGUUACAAUGGGAGGUACAGCGGGAUGCUACCUGGUGACAGGAUGCCAAUCUCGAAAGCCUUUCGUAGUUCGGAUUGGAGUCUGCAACUCGACUCCAUGAAGUUGGAUUCGCUAGUAAUCGCGCAUCAGCCAUGGCGCGGUGAAUACGUUCCCGGGCCUUGUACACACCGCCCGUCAAGCCAUGGAAGCUGGGGGUGCCUAAAGGUCGUAACCGCAAGGAGCGGUCUAGGGCAAAACCGGUAACUAGGGC